UUUAUUUCCCAGGUUUUGAUUCGUUAUCAAGUUGAAAGAGGAGUAAUCGUCAUUCCAAAGAGUGUCACAAAGGAGAGGAUCAUUGCAAACUUUGAUAUUUUUGACUUCAAACUUACCCCUGAAGAGAUGAAAACAAUCGAUGGCUGCAACAGAAACUUCAGAUAUGUUCUUGUGACCUGGUCCCUUAAGCACAAGUACUACCCUUUUCAUGACACAGCAUAAAUUUGCAGCGCUGCCCUGUGCUGUUUUUUAUGACACCAACUCACAUGUAGGUAGCAGUGCUUGGCCAUUUAGAAAUUGCUGUAUUUGUAGGCAUGUACCGUAUUUUUCCACAUAUAACCCGCCACCAUGUAUAACCCGCACCCCCAAUUACAACAGCUGGGAAAAAAAUAUAUAUCUGCGGUAAUAACUUCAUGCAACAACGCUUAAGUUUUUGCAAAAACAGUCCGUUCUCGGAUACACGACUCGUCCACAUCAUCGUAUCAUCGGCCAGCAACUCUGCCUCCCCCCACCCCCCCUUUGGCGAUGCUGAUAAAGCUGGAUUCGCACGACGGACGCCAUCGCAGACAAAUCAGUCACGUGACAUCUGACGCAAAUCGGAUCAUUUCGCAGGCGCAUCUAGCAUUCACGCGACAGAGGAUGACAGUGCAGCCGGAGCAGCACUCGCUUGGGCACCGGCGAUUUGGCUAUCAGCCGUAUCGCGAAGCGCUUCGCAUGAACCGAGGGAGUGCCACGGGAAUGGGUGAUGUACGAGUUCGCCGGCGCCGUGUGCAUUAUUCGCUAUACGCAAAAUGCCGACCUGUAAAAAGGAGGGGAAUGGACGACCAUGAUGGAGGGGAGACGGGAUCUUCAAUACGCAGUGGUGGGGAGAGGGUAGGAUUCCCUAGGAGAUAACGAAAAUAAAUGGUAGAGAACUUUGCCUCGAGGUGUGGCACACGGCAGUGCGCGCCGCGCUGCCGUGAAGCCACAUCUUCAAGUAAAAUUCACGUAUAACCAGCACCCCAACUUUACCGCCAACUUUUUAAAAUUUUUGGUGCAGGUUAUACGCGCGAAAAUGCGGUAUACACAGGGACUGUGCAAAAGUUCUGGCUAUAUGACUGUAAACAAGGCUUCAACAUUUUUUGGGAUUAUUACAAGCAGUAAUUUAAUUACUGUGUUCCUCAAUACCAUUACACAACAGGAGCCUCAUUUUCUGUGUGGAUGUUAUUCCAGUGACUACGAUUACAUGAUAAUGAGCUUUUUUUACAACAGCAAGUAAAAAUAAAUAUGAUUUGUUAGUUUUGAAGCCCUCAUGUAGUGAUUACAUACUGGAAUUACCAAUGACUGACAUAAUGUGUGCAUCAAAAUCGUGAACACAUUUCAUUUUUAAAAGAAUGCAGCUACCAUGAGUAGUAACAGAAGUUCUAACUAUCUAAUCACCAGUGCACCGCAUUGACUGUUACUUUUUAAAACCUGCCUUGUCCAAGCUGUGCAAAUGCUGUAAUCCCAAGAAAAUAAACUAAUACGUGCACUGUUCA
Long non-coding RNA from Dermacentor silvarum, 1517 nucleotides. RefSeq lists it as uncharacterized. Lineage: Eukaryota; Metazoa; Arthropoda; Arachnida; Ixodida; Ixodidae. The record is from RefSeq and is a predicted model, not a curated record. The transcript has 3 exons.